UGCUGCAGCUCAUAAGUUAUAAUCAGAGGAAGGAAACGCCUGAGAGAUCUGAAGGUUUUAAUUGUUGUUGAGUGCAGAUGGUUUGGAUUACCGCACAGGAAUGGAGCUCAACAAAGAUUGAUCAAGUACUUCAAAAUGGGAAGAGGGAAGUUUGGACACAGACACACACAGACAAGAGAAUACCAUGUGACAAAGGCAGAGAUUGGAAUGAUACAGCUGCAAGCCAGGGAUGCCAAGG
RNAcentral lists this long non-coding RNA (238 nucleotides) under Homo sapiens (human). Its description in RNAcentral is "HSALNT0190538". The record is from RNAcentral. Lineage: Eukaryota; Metazoa; Chordata; Mammalia; Primates; Hominidae.